RNAcentral lists this ribosomal RNA (512 nucleotides) under uncultured fungus. Its description in RNAcentral is "SSU rRNA". It matches the Rfam family "Eukaryotic small subunit ribosomal RNA", at positions 21 to 530 of the family's 1831-position model. The record is from RNAcentral. Lineage: Eukaryota; Fungi.
UUGUAGUCAUAUGCUUGUCUCAAAGAUUAAGCCAUGCAUGUCUAAGUAUAAACAAAUUUGUACUGUGAAACUGCGAAUGGCUCAUUAAAUCAGUUAUAGUUUAUUUGAUGGUACAUUACUACAUGGAUAACUGUGGUAAUUCUAGAGCUAAUACAUGCGUUAAAAUCCCGACUUACGAAGGGAUGUAUUUAUUAGAUACAAAACCAAUUCGUGGCAACACGAUAUUGGUGAGUCAUAAUAACUUUUCGAAUCGCAUGGCCUUGAGCCGGCGAUGCAUCAUUCAAAUAUCUGCCCUAUCAACUUUGGAUGGUAGGAUAGAGGCCUACCAUGGUUUUAACGGGUAACGGGGAAUAAGGGUUCGAUUCCGGAGAGGGAGCCUGAGAAACGGCUACCACAUCCAAGGAAGGCAGCAGGCGCGCAACUUACCCAAUCCCGACACGGGGAGGUAGUGACAAUAAAUAACAAUACAGGGCUCUUUUGGGUCUUGUAAUUGGAAUGAGUACAAUUUAAAU